UGGGGAAUAUUGCACAAUGGGGGAAACCCUGAUGCAGCGACGCCGCGUGAGCGAAGAAGGUUUUCGAAUCGUAAAGCUCUGUCCUAUGAGAAGAUAAUGACGGUAUCAUAGGAGGAAGCCACGGCUAACUACGUGCCAGCAGCCGCGGUAAUACGUAGGUGGCAAGCGUUGUCCGGAAUUAUUGGGCGUAAAGCGCGCGCAGGUGGUUUAGAAAGUCUGAUGUGAAAGCCCACGGCUCAACCGUGGAGGGUCAUUGGAAACUAAUAAACUUGAGUGCAGGAGAGAAAAGUGGAAUUCCUAGUGUAGCGGUGAAAUGCGUAGAGAUUAGGAGGAACACCGGUGGCGAAAGCGGCUUUUUGGCCUGCAACUGACACUGAGGCGCGAAAGCGUGGGGAGCAAACAGG
RNAcentral lists this ribosomal RNA (404 nucleotides) under Verrucomicrobiota bacterium. Its description in RNAcentral is "Verrucomicrobia bacterium partial 16S ribosomal RNA". It matches the Rfam family "Bacterial small subunit ribosomal RNA", at positions 355 to 776 of the family's 1533-position model. Lineage: Bacteria; Pseudomonadati; Verrucomicrobiota. The record is from RNAcentral.